Molecule: long non-coding RNA, 8072 nt
Filed under: Medicago truncatula (barrel medic)
Lineage: Eukaryota; Viridiplantae; Streptophyta; Magnoliopsida; Fabales; Fabaceae
Description: long non-coding RNA (MTRU_LNC004594)
Source: RNAcentral
UUUCCGAAGCAUUACGAUUGAGGUCAUCAUGAUCAGGUACAGGUAGAGUUCCAUUGAUAAAGGGAAGCUUGUUCUUAACACCCAAAGCACGCUGCAUUGAUCUACUCCAUGCAAGAUAAUUGGAUCCAUUGAACUUAGGAGACACAAUCACCGAAUUAGGUCCUUCACUAUGAUGAACAAAGAAAGCAGAAUCAGUAUCAUUGUUGCUGUUGUUGAUUCGAAGCACGAACCAUCAUUCCAAAUCAGAGGAAGAAGAUGAAGAUCUUCGUAAGAAAUAAAUGCAGAGAAGCAAUACGCAAAGCUUGCGAAGGAAGAAAGAGAAGAAUCUCAAUACAAAAUUGAGAACAAAACAAGAAGAAUCAUGAAGAGAAAGAGAAAGAAAACUGAUACCAUAUUAUAAAUGAUAGAAAUAAUAUGUAAUUGCUUGAUGAAUCAGAGAGUACAACAACUAUUUAUAGGUAGUUGAUGCUGUACAAUACAUAUGAUGGACUAGCAUCAGCAUAUUAAAGCUACUACUAAGGUAAGCUAAGUUGCUUGUGGUCUAAGCUAUCUAAACCACUCUUAUUAUGUAAUAUAAAUAAAUCCUGAAUUAUUAAAAAAAUAAAAAAUAAGGAGUCCAACAACAACUCUUACAACAUCAAUUUAUUAAAAAAAAAAAUUACAUAAUCGAAUGAUACUUUUUGCCUUUCACAAUAUUUCAUUUAAUCCUUUGGUUCCUCUUCCUCAUAGGAUUUCAGCACCAUAUCCAUAUCACCAUGUUUCUUAAAGAAGCGAGUGAGCAACUCCUUAUAUUCGUAAGACUUAUAAAUAGGUGGAUUGUGUUCAUCAAUGAGAUCUUUUGUUGGUUCAAUGAAACAAUCACCUGAUGGAGCUAUAAAAAAGGCAGCAGUUGUGCGAGCUUGUUCUGAAUUUGUCACAACUCUAUGUUCCACACUUUUUAGCUUACCAUUAGUCAUUAUCUGUAUCCAAUAUUGUAACCCAUCACAAGUCAACAAAAUUUACCAAAUUACAUAAAUUAAUAAGAGACAUGAUUGAAAUGAAAAAAAUACAAAAAAUUUCCUUCAUGUGAGAUAGUGAUAAAUUAGUCCCUAGGGUUAUUAAUUUUUAAAGAAUUAAUGCAUUAAGUGUACCUGCAAGGCGUAGCCUAUGUUGAUAACAAAUGCAUGAGGAAUAGCAUCAACAGCAAUCCACUCUCCAUCCUUAAGUACUUGAAGGCCACAUAUAUCUUCUUGUUGUAAAACGGUUAUGAGGUAAGCAUCAAAGUGUUUGGUUAUACCAAGUGUUAAACUUGGAUCAGGGCAUGGUGGAUAAUGAUUAAGUUGGAUAACUAAUGAGUCACUAAGAUUAUCAUUGUCGAAAUAUCCACACUCCAAACCAAGCCCUUCACUAAUCAAAUUCAUGAUCCUUGAACCCAACUCCUUAAUUUUAGUUGAAUAAUCCCCAACACACUUUCUGCAAGAAAAAAAUGUCUAUUAGAUCUUUAACUGCAUGUGCAAAUUAGGGGUGACAAUGUGAAUAAAUUGAAUACAAUUUAACUUGGAUUGUGUAUUGGAUGGAUUGAACAACCCAUUAAUCUAUUUAUAAUCAACUACCCACUUAGGUUAGUCUGGUGGUAUUGACUUAGGACAUGAGAUUGUGCUCCUCCUCAAGAUCUCCCAAAGUCUUAUGACCAACGGCUCAUAAGGGUUUGCACUUGCCCGCAGCUCCUGACGCCCGCUUGGCGGGCGGAGCGCUCGUUAUCCUUACAGUUCUCUAUGCCGGGGCCCCCUCCCAUUGCUCUAGCCAUAAGUUGUGGCAACUCCAGCUCGAAACCAAAGGGGCCCGCCCUGCAAGGCUAGAGUGAGCUCAGUGGUCAUGUUUAAUUCUCCCCGAUACUAAUUUGAAUGAGUUAAUUUAGCUUUUUCAAAAAAAAAAAAAUUAUAAUCCAUGGAAAACUUCCUAAAACAACUAAAUCAAACCAUCAUCCGGACCAAACAAUCACCUAAUCCAUUUAUUUAUAUUUUGUCCAAUCUAUGCAUAAAAUACUUUAAAAGGAAAAACCUAUUACAAUAUUUUUUUUUUAGUACCACCAGAGCAUCUCCAUUGUGGCUGCAAGUGGUUCUCGGACAUCAAUUUUUGUGGAAAACUGGCGACUUUGUGUUAUUCCUAAAUCAUGACCGUCUUAUUUACCUAAUACGUUGUGAUGCAUUUGAUUUACCAAAAAAACAAAAACUAUGAAUGUUUUAGUUCCUAUUUAUAAGUCUUGUGUGUUUUAAACAGUUAUUAUGUAAUUAAUGUUUGUAUACGAUUGGUUCUUGAAUCGGAUGCCGAGUUUUCGAAAAAAUGUUUAUAUAUGAUUAUUAGAGAGAGAGAGGGAGAGAGGGAGGGAGGGAGAGAGAGAUCAAAUUUAAUUCAUGUUUUGUUAAAAAAAUUAUAUUUUUUUUUUAGAAAAAAUUUCAUUUAAAAAUAUGAAUGUUACACGAGAGUUGACUUCAAGGCAGUGAUCAAAUGUGAUGAUGCAAAUAUUUUAGGAGAAUAAACUCGAAGAAUUUUUUUGGAUAUAUUAAAACACAAAGUUGAUAUAUUUAUAGAGAUAAAAACAUAUUUAACCAUAGUGUUAAUAUUUGGAAAUGAAUAAUAAAUGUAUUUAAAAAUUUGUUGAGGGUUUUUAAUUAUGGACGAGCAAACAUUUUAAAAUUGUCUUAUAAUUAAAGGUCAAAGAGAAUAUGACAAUUCACGAAUUAAUAACCAUUCUAAUGUGAGCAAGCUUAUACUUAUCUUAAUUUGGGCAUAUACUAAUGAAUUUACUCAUCUAACUAAUCAGGGGCGAAUCCACCAUAGAGCUAUGUGUGGCUCUAGCCACACAUGAUUAUACCCUCUUUUUUUUUUUUUUUUUAUUUUUCUUUCAUAUACUAGAUCUCAAACAAUUGAUUAUAACAGUUAUUCUUUCUUUCACAAAAAAAAAAAAAAAAGUUAUAUUAUAUAUAUAUAUAUAUAUAUAUAUUUCUAAAAAAAAAAACAGUUAUAUACUAUAUAUAUGUCUAAAACAUGUGAAGAUUCUUUAUAUGGUCUAUCAGUAUGUAUGGUUGCGUAUAUCAAUACGCAUACAAGACUCUUUUUAGAAAAAAAAUUGUCACUUUUUAUAAGACUGUGUUGAUAUAUAUUUUUAAAUAUAUUAAUUAAUUAUUUACCAACAAACUCCUAUUUAUUUUAUAUUUUUUUCUUCAAUCAGUAUUAAAUACCAUGUUGAAAACAUACACUAACUCUUUCUCUUAAAGAAUAAAAUUGUAAAAACAAUAGCAAUUACAAACAAACUUAUUACCACUUUCAAUUUUCUUAACUCCCGUUAUUUUUUUAAAAGGACCCUAUAAUUAAGGAUAGAGGGAGUAUGAUUUAAUUCAUAGUUUCUUUUAUAAUUCAGUCACACCUAAACAUUAUAUCUAGAUCCAUGCAUGUAACUAAUGUACUUUGUUCAAUCAUUGUUAUAAACAAAACUUUAUUUUGUAUAUUCAUUGAAUAAUAGGUAGUAUUAAUUAGAGAGAUUGCAAGUAGUGAAAUUGUUAUGUCGACUAUUUAAUUAAGUUAAAGACUAGUUAAUAGCUCAAGUAAUAAUCAAUUUGAGAUAGAGAACUAUUACAAAUGAGACCGACCAAGUUUUCAUGCAUUUACCUGUAUGUAGUUGGAUAUUCAGGCCACAAGUGUUGCCACUGUUCCAAAGGAUAAGCUGGGUGUCUAAGAGUGUCCCUCCAAAGAUGAACCUUAUCAAAUUCAUAUUUGAAAGUGCUAGAAAACAUCUUACAUGUCUUCAAAUUGUUCUCAGGAUACAAGUCGUGUUUGUAUUCAUUAGGCUUCUCAAACACCUCCUUAAAAACACUCAUUGCUUCCUUCAUUUCAUCCAACGAGAGACCAUGAUUGAUAACCUAUUUUAAUCAAAAAAAAUGUCGGGAUUUUAUAUUAGACACAUUGUCGGAGCCACGUUGUGGCCAGGGGGUUCAAUUGCACCUUCUCAACUUUUCAUAUUUACACCUAUUUUACUAUAUUUUCAUUGUCUUGAACCCCCUCAAAAUUAAGCCUUGCACCAUAUUGAAUUGACUCUCUCCUCUCUCACUAGGAAAAAGUUGGUAAAGUUGUGUCUGUGCAUACAGUGUGACAAUAAUACAAUGCAGAUUGCCCAAAGUUUAAGUCAAAGUAAAAAAUAUCAUUUUUUUUAACAGCAAAUUUUAUUUAAAAAUCAGAUCCUUGCUCAAGACGAACAGAGACAGGUGAUAUUAUAAAUAUCAUUUUAUAUUAUAAAUUGAUGAUAGAUUGGAAUCAAAACAAAAUAUCUUGAAUGGAAAUUAAAUCUGGAUAUUUAGCAUAGAAAAUGUAUAGAAUAUUUAGCAUUGUGUUUUCAAAUUUUAACUGAUAAAUAUUCUAUGAUGGAAAAAAAUGUAAGAUGUGGAAAUUUUUCUUAAAUAAAUAUAAAUAUAUUUUAAUAUUUAUAAUUUUACGACAUUCAUCUUUAAAUAUAUAAUUUUUCUAUUGUCUCUAAAUAGGCAAACAACUAUGUUGAUCAUCCAUGAAUGUGUGAGACACUCUUAUACUCUUUAAAUGUAUCGAAAAUACAUUUAUAGUGCAUCUUUUUUUGUGUGGUAAUUUUAUAGAUUAAAUUGAACAAUGACAAAACAUAUUCUAAGAUAUAAUUGACUAUCAAAAAACUAAUUUAAUAAAAGAGACGUUUAGAGAUCAAUAUGAUGGCGAAAUACACAUUCAAGGUAAAAAUUUGGUAGGUCGAAAUUUUGAACCCCUUAACUUAGGGUCCUGGCAACACAACUAAAGUUUGCUUAGUAUAUUUUAGAGGAAAAAUAUAUUUAAUCUUAAAAUAGAAAGAGUAUUUAGUAUGAAUACCUGAAAGAAUCCAAACUCCUCAGAAGCCUUGAUAAUUUGUUGUAUUGUUUUGGUUCUAUCCCCAUUUUGUGCUUCACUAAGAUCAAUUGUUGGGAUGGUUUUGUUAAUUGGGAUUUUGAAAUUCCCUGGUCUUGUUUCUUGUGGGAAUACAUAGUCCUCAGGCACAGAUUUGAUGCUUGACCGGUUUGAAAUAAAUUUCUCCNUUUUUUUUUUUUUAAGGAAUCAUGCUUUAUAAUUUUUAUUUUUUUUGAAGAAGUUAAAUUAGCUUAUCCAAAUUGAUACCGGAGAGAACCAUCAGACCAAUUCAAGUGGGUUCAUGUUUUACAAUGUUGUUUCCUUUUUGCAUCAGACAUGCUAAUUGUAAAACAUAAAUAUUUGAAUCAAUCAUUAAGUGUAUUUUAACCACUUGAUUAAGUGGUUAAACUCAUAUCCUCAUGUAAAUCAACGAGAGUGUAACCUUUAUAGCCUGACUUGUAUCCCAAGAAAAAAGUUUUUCUAGCUCUAGAUUGAAGUUUAGUUCUAUGGACAGAAAGAGAAGUAGCAUAACACAGACAACCAAAAACUUUGAAAGUUGAAAUGUCAGGUAAUUUGUAGUAAAGAACUUGAUAAGGACACUUAUGAUUAAGGGUAUGAGUGGUGAUACGGUUAAUGAGGAAAAUUGCAUGAGAAACUGCAUAAGAUCAAAAAGAGGAGGGUAGUUUGGAUUGGAAUAAAAAAGUGCUCUACCAACAUUUAAAAUGUGUUGGUUUUUUUUUUCUACCCUACCUUUUUGUUGAGGAGUAGCAACACAAGAUUUUUGAUGGAUAAUGCCAAGGGAAUCAUAAAAGGUUGGAAGGAUAAACUCAUGGCCAUUGUCUGAUCUGACAUCUUUAGGAGUGAUAUAAAACUGGUUUUGAAUCAUGGCAAUGAAACAUUGGACAUGGUGAGAAACUUCAGCUUUGGGUUCAAGGAGAAUAAUCCAAAGAAACCUAUUAUGAUCAUCAACAAUGGUAAGGAAGUAUUUGUGACCAUGAACAGAAGGUACAGAUAAGGGACCCCAAAUAUCAAAGUGUAGCAAUUCAAAAUUAGAAGAUGCAUUAGAAUUACUAGAUUCAAAAGGAAGAUGCUUUUGUUUAGCAAAAUGAUAGACAUCGCAAAUUGAAUUAUUAUCAGAAACAAUAUUGGAGUACAAAGUUGACAUCUUAUUCACUCUUUGAUGAGAUAAGUGUCCCAAUCUGAAGUGCAAUAAGGCUUUAUUGGGAAUAACAACAAUACUUGAAUUACAAGAAAUUGAAGAAAUUGCAUUACAAAUUUAUUGAUAUGACUAGAAAGAUCACUAGCAGAAACUAAAGAUAGAGAAUGGAGUAUGUAUAAACCAUCCACUUGUUUAGCCAAAUCAAUCUGCUUCAUUGAGAAUUGGUCAUGUAUAAUGCAUUGAGUAUGUGAGAAUUGCACAAAACAAGAUAAAGAAUGACACAAUUUGGCUACAUAGAUAUGAUUCAACUUAAAGGAAGGAGAAUAAAGAGCAUUGGUGAGAUAAAGCUGAGAACUAAAAGAAACAAUGUCAUCAUGAUUAACAAGGAUAGAGGUACCAUUAGGUAAAUUGACAUGAACAUGCUUAAUCUGAUAAAAUGAAGUAAAAGAAGCUAAGUUGCCAUAUAUGUGCUCAUUACCCCCAGAAUGUAAUAACCAAUGUGAGGUAGAAGGAAAAAAACAAGAAUGAGUAUUCAGAUUACCUACAGAAGAAGAAGCAGCAGUGUAAUUGGAGGAAACUUGAGGAGAAACACUAAUAUGGUUGGUAGUAGGGUCAGAUGUAGAAGCAGGAACUGAGGUAAACAAAUUUGUCUGCUGCAACAAGAAGAUAAGCUGAUCCAUCUUUUCUUGAGACAAACCAGUACUACCAGAAGAGUUGCUUGCAUCUGAAGCUUCAUUCGAAGUAGCAUUGGCCUGUGAAAUCUUCUUGUUCACAUUAGGAUAGCCAUGCUUUUGAUAGAAAAAGUCAAUUGUGUGAUUGUGUCUAUUUCAAAAAAUGCAAAACCUUGAUGAAGGUUUAGUGAAUGAACAUUUACCACGCCCUUAAGGUUUCUUUGCAUCAUAUGCAUUAACAAGCACAUUAUCUUCAGCAAGAGAAGGGAGUGAAAGAAGAGAAGUAUUAUUACUUUCUUCUUGUAAAACCAAAGAGAAAUUCUUAUUCAAGGUAGGCAAUGGAUCCAUCAAUAAGACUAGAGUCUUCACAGCAAAAAAUUGCUUAUUGAUGCUAGUUAAAAACUGAAUGAUUUGGUCCUCAUUUCUAUAUGUGUCAGUAACCUUAAGAGCAUCACAUCAACAUUGAUGAUGACAGUACAAUUUGGGAGAGGAGGAUGAGAAUGUAAUUCUUCCCACAAAGCUUUCAUUUCAGUGAAAUAAUCCAACACAAAUUUGGUAUUUUGCCUAAGAUUGUUAAUUUAAUUCCAGAACGCAAAUUGGCAAUUCUAAUACGAUCAAUCUUAGAAAAACGUUCCUUCAAAUCCUCCCAAAAAUCAAAAGCAUUAUCAUGAAACAAUAUAGUUUGAGAAAUUGAAUCAGAAACAGAAUUAAUAAUCCAAGACUAUACCAAAUGAUUGCAUCUUUCCGAAGCAUUACGAUUGAGGUCAUCAUGAUCAGGUACAGGUAGAGUUCCAUUGAUAAAGGGAAGCUUGUUCUUAACACCCAAAGCACGCUGCAUUGAUCUACUCCAUGCAAGAUAAUUGGAUCCAUUGAACUUAGGAGACACAAUCACCGAAUUAGGUCCUUCACUAUGAUGAACAAAGAAAGCAGAAUCAGUAUCAUUGUUGCUGUUGUUGAUUCGAAGCACGAACCAUCAUUCCAAAUCAGAGGAAGAAGAUGAAGAUCUUCGUAAGAAAUAAAUGCAGAGAAGCAAUACGCAAAGCUUGCGAAGGAAGAAAGAGAAGAAUCUCAAUACAAAAUUGAGAACAAAACAAGAAGAAUCAUGAAGAGAAAGAGAAAGAAAACUGAUACCAUAUUAUAAAUGAUAGAAAUAAUAUGUAAUUGCUUGAUGAAUCAGAGAGUACAACAACUAUUUAUAGGUAGUUGAUGCUGUACAAUACAUAUGAUGGACUAGCAUCAGCAUAUUAAAGCUACUACUAAGGUAAGCUAAGUUGCUUGUGGUCUAAGCUAUCUAAACCACUCUUAUUAUGUAAUAUAAAUAAAUCCUGAAUUAUUAAAAAAAUAAAAAAUAAGGAGUCCAA